This 292-nucleotide ribosomal RNA is filed under the name uncultured bacterium. RNAcentral describes it as "partial 16S ribosomal RNA". It matches the Rfam family "Bacterial small subunit ribosomal RNA", at positions 505 to 796 of the family's 1533-position model. The record is from RNAcentral.
GUUUAAGCCGCCGCGGUAAAACGUAGGUGGCAAGCGUUAUCCGGAUUUACUGGGCGUAAAGCGUGUGCAGGCUGCUUGUCAAGUGGUGUAUGAAAUCGCCCGGCUCAACCGGGCGGGGUUAUGCCAGACUGGCAAGCUAGAGUCUGAAAGAGGGGGGUGGAAUUCCGGGUGUAGUGGUGAAAUGCGUAGAGAUCCGGAGGAACCCCAGAGGCGAAGGCGGCCCCCUGGUUCAGCACUGACGCUCAGACACGACAGCAUGGGGAGCGAACGGGAUUAGAUACCCGCGUAGUCC